GACGAACGCUGGCGGCGUGCUUAACACAUGCAAGUCGAACGGAAAGGCCCUGCUUUUGUUUGGUGCUCGAGUGGCGAACGGGUGAGUAACACGUGAGUAACCUGCCCUUUACUUUGGGAUAACUUCAGGAAACUGGGGCUAAUACCGGAUAGGAGCUCCUCCUGCAUGUUGUGCGUUGGAAAGUUUCGGCGUUUGGGGAUGGACUCGCGGCUUAUCAGCUUGUUGGUGGGGUAGUGGCUUACCAAGGCUUUGACGGGUAGCCGGCCUGAGAGGGUGACCGGCCACAUUGGGACUGAGAUACGGCCCAGACUCCUACGGGAGGCAGCAGUGGGGAAUAUUGCACAAUGGGCGGAAGCCUGAUGCAGCAACGCCGCGUGCGGGAUGACGGCCUUCGGGUUGUAAACCGCUUUCGCCUGUGACGAAGCGUGAGUGACGGUAAUGGGUAAAGAAGCACCGGCUAACUACGUG
RNAcentral lists this ribosomal RNA (468 nucleotides) under uncultured bacterium. RNAcentral describes it as "partial 16S ribosomal RNA". It matches the Rfam family "Bacterial small subunit ribosomal RNA", at positions 28 to 507 of the family's 1533-position model. The record is from RNAcentral.